Non-coding RNA from Alicyclobacillus sp., 48 nucleotides. NCBI's taxonomy places the organism in Bacteria, Bacillati, Bacillota, Bacilli, Caryophanales, Alicyclobacillaceae. The record is from Rfam.
UAAGCGUUUCUGAAAGGAAACGUUGAACGGACAGAAGUCAGCAGAGGU